UUUUUUUCUCAUAUGUUGUUUAAAAAUGUUUAAAAUUAUUAAUUACAUGACAUUAAUUUCCACAACAUUUUCCCUAGCUGUUUGUAAUGUAGCCCAAAUAAAAAUAUCAAAACAAAAAGACCAGGUCACUUGACUUAAAUAUCGAUUUAAUAUUUUGAAGUACUAUUUAAAAAGUCGAUCGUUCCGGAUGUAGGAUAAAACUAUUAACUAAAUGUUGUUUAGAUGCAC
Molecule: long non-coding RNA, 228 nt
Filed under: Mytilus galloprovincialis (Mediterranean mussel)
Lineage: Eukaryota; Metazoa; Mollusca; Bivalvia; Mytilida; Mytilidae
Source: RNAcentral